UUUCUGAUCUCACUCUGCCUCUAACACACUGCAGGUUAUUUCUGAUCUCACUCUGCCUCUAACACACUGCAGGUUAUUUCUGGUCUCACUCUGCCGGUUAUUUCUGGUCUCACUCUGCCUCUAACACACUGCAGGUUAUUUCUGGUCUCACUCUGCCUCUAACACACUGCUGGUUAUUUCUGGUCUCACUCUGCCUCUAACACACUGCAGGUUAUUUCUGGUCUCACUCUGCCUCUAACAUCGAGGCACUCUGGGCCAGGCUAGUAGAGCUGGCAGACCCCCGGGUGGCUCAGCAAAGGUCAAAGGGAACUGGGCUGCCAUUGCCAGACUGACUCUGGAGAGGCUUUUCCACAGCUCUACACAACAAUGUAAUCAAAACGUCCCUUAAACACAUUUACUUCUAUAAUUCCAGUUUCUCUACAUUCCUAACGUGUUAAUUUGCAUUGAAAUGCGCACUGUGACCAAAGGCUGAGUUUAGGCUGAGUUUGGUGAGUAGGAACAUGAUAAUGUGCUUUGAAUUGUCUGUGAAAGCUAUUUCCCUUGUGAAAUAACUCUGUGGUGCAAAUUAUACAUUGCGUUGAGGCGUUGAAGAUAGGCCUUCAGCUGGCUGUGGUUGCAUUCAUAACGUGGAUGUGUUUCCACUGAUGACCCCUGGGUGGCAUUAACAAACCUCUUGAGUUAGAUUCUCCUGUGGGCUGCGGACAGUGUCCCAAACCUGCUGGUGCUCUAUUUCCUCUCGUGAGGUCAUACUUCCAUUUCCAUUACCUUUGUCUUUCGAAUAAAAAUCAAGAUUAUAUCUUAAUAUUCAGGAAAAUGCUGUUGUUUUAAACAUAUACAAACGUAUAUUUGUGCAUACAAUUUCUCUAAUUUAAUGUUUCCUUAUUUAUAAAAAAUGAUGUUGAUGCUCAAAGAAGUAAGACAUUAAGUUACAGAAGCCUCAUUUUAACUCUUGCAAUGUAGUUCAUCGUGAUCUAACAUGUCCGCUCGAGGAGAGGAUUGAAGGAAUGUAAAAACCUUUUAGCCCACAAGCUAAGAUUUAAGUAACAUUAUUUUGUCAUGUUCAUUUUAGAUAAUAUAAUUUAACAAACGUUCAUGAAGAUUUCUGUAGGAUGAUAUAUUUG
Esox lucius (northern pike) is the source of this 1121-nucleotide long non-coding RNA. Lineage: Eukaryota; Metazoa; Chordata; Actinopteri; Esociformes; Esocidae. The record is from Ensembl.